This 23-nucleotide non-coding RNA is filed under the name Rattus norvegicus (Norway rat). The record is from RNAcentral. Lineage: Eukaryota; Metazoa; Chordata; Mammalia; Rodentia; Muridae.
GGCCUUGAUGAGUGCAAUCAGUU